CUUUGUCAUGGCAGCUGAGCAAACACUUAAGAGUCCCCCGAGCGGCACUGAAAUGGGGAAGCCGGACUAUGUAAGCCCCAUGGCUCAUCUUCACCACUGAUACUGUAAACCUUAGCUUGCUAUGGAGAGCGCUCCUUGUUGAAGUCUCCCUCCGCCUUGUUUCUACUUAUUGACAGACUCUGAAGUGAUUGCUUUCGGACUCCUUCACAGUUUCCUGGCUGCCUCGUUAUUUUUCAGUUUGAAAAUUGAAGCGGACCAAGUCAAACUCAGUCAACCCAGUCGCCCUCCAGCCGCCAUUGAAAGGGGACGUGGACGCGCAGCUAUAACUAAAUGCUGCCACCUAGAGGACAGCGUGGGUAUACCGCCUCCUCUCCAGCUGGUAUUCUCAGGACUUCUGGAACCCAGAUUGAACUGUGCUGGGUGGAAGCUGCAACCUGUGUUCAUUAACGUCCUUGUGGUGCCAAUUUGCGCAACCAAUAUUUUUCUUUACUCUGUACUUUAAAAGGGUUUCCUCUUCUAAAUGAACUGUAG
RNAcentral lists this long non-coding RNA (531 nucleotides) under Rattus norvegicus (Norway rat). RNAcentral describes it as "long non-coding RNA NONRATT033166". Lineage: Eukaryota; Metazoa; Chordata; Mammalia; Rodentia; Muridae. The record is from RNAcentral.